GGGCCAUUAACUCAGCGGCUAGAGUGCGUCCUUUACACGGAUGAAGUCGGGGGUUCGAAUCCCUCAUGGCCCA
Molecule: transfer RNA, 73 nt
Filed under: Humisphaera borealis
Lineage: Bacteria; Pseudomonadati; Planctomycetota; Phycisphaerae; Tepidisphaerales; Tepidisphaeraceae
Description: tRNA-Val
Rfam family: tRNA
About the family: Transfer RNA (tRNA) molecules are approximately 80 nucleotides in length. Their secondary structure includes four short double-helical elements and three loops (D, anti-codon, and T loops). Further hydrogen bonds mediate the characteristic L-shaped molecular structure. tRNAs have two regions of fundamental functional importance: the anti-codon, which is responsible for specific mRNA codon recognition, and the 3' end, to which the tRNAs corresponding amino acid is attached (by aminoacyl-tRNA synthetases). tRNAs cope with the degeneracy of the genetic code in two manners: having more than one tRNA (with a specific anti-codon) for a particular amino acid; and 'wobble' base-pairing, i.e. permitting non-standard base-pairing at the 3rd anti-codon position.
Source: RNAcentral